This is a long non-coding RNA of Tachyglossus aculeatus (Australian echidna), 608 nucleotides long. RefSeq lists it as uncharacterized. The transcript is spliced from 2 exons. The record is from RefSeq and is a predicted model, not a curated record. NCBI's taxonomy places the organism in Eukaryota, Metazoa, Chordata, Mammalia, Monotremata, Tachyglossidae.
CCAGAAAAAAAGCAGGUAAGAAGAGGAGGGAAUAGGACUGCCCGCCGCCUCCCGGUUCCCAAGGGAGCCACGGCGGAGGAGGGAAGAGAAAAGGGGAAAGAGGAAGAUGAGGAGGAGAAGCAGAAGGAAGAGGAGGCUCGGCUUGCCUCGCCACCAAACCCUCGCGGUCCGUUUUCCUGGAACAAACUAUCUACAGCUGGGAGACUAAUCAAACACAUUGAAAUUUUGCUGGGGGUGGUUGUUGUUGUCGUUGUUGUUGUUAUUGUUGGAAUCUAGACCUUUUAAACAAAUGUGUAUAAAUAAACGAAUUGUUAGUAACUUGGCUAUUGAUCUGGAGACAAAUGGACUCUUAAAGGAGUCCUACACUCAUGUAAUGGGUAACUUCCCACAGGCACUUUAUUUUCCUAUUUCAAAAGCUUAAACCUCGACUGGCACAGAUAAACUGUGCUUUCUGUUUAUGUUACUGUUUAUACAUCUAUGGCUUGUAUCUAUCAUCUGAUAACAAACUAUUCAUUAGAAGAGAGGAAAAGGCUUCACAGAAGCCCAGUCCCUAUCUUAGCUUUCUUUUUAUUGGUGAAUCACCUUUAUAAUAAAGGCUCUCAAUGUUU